UACAGGGGGUGCAAGCGUUACUCGGAAUUAUUGGGCGUAAAGAGCGCGUAGGCGGCUUUGUAAGUCUAAUGUGAAAGCCCCGGACUCAAUUCGGGAAGUGCAUUGGAUACUGCAAGGCUGGAGUACUGGAGAGGAGAGUGGAAUUCCAGGUGUAGAGGUGAAAUUCGUAGAUAUCUGGAGGAACAACAGAGGCGAAGGCGGCUCUCUGGACAGUAACUGACGCUGAGGCGCGAAAGCGUGGGGAGCAAACAGG
Molecule: ribosomal RNA, 253 nt
Filed under: uncultured prokaryote
Description: partial 16S ribosomal RNA
Rfam family: Bacterial small subunit ribosomal RNA
Source: RNAcentral